GAUUUGCUCGGUCGAAUCCUCCCAGAUCGUACCGUGCAGAAGGAUUUCCAC
RNAcentral lists this small RNA (51 nucleotides) under Sinorhizobium meliloti 2011. RNAcentral's name for it is "putative ncRNA". Lineage: Bacteria; Pseudomonadati; Pseudomonadota; Alphaproteobacteria; Hyphomicrobiales; Rhizobiaceae. The record is from RNAcentral.